Molecule: microRNA, 22 nt
Filed under: Mus musculus (house mouse)
Lineage: Eukaryota; Metazoa; Chordata; Mammalia; Rodentia; Muridae
Description: mmu-miR-654-5p
Gene: mmu-miR-654-5p
Source: miRBase by way of RNAcentral
UGGUAAGCUGCAGAACAUGUGU